UUUUUUGUUUGUUAAAUUGAAUGAGGUUUAUUUCCAGCAAUAUGUCUUCGGAUCUAUUUAUACAAGGACAAGCUCCUAUGUUAUGUCAACUUUGUGAUCAAACGGGGUCUAUCAAAUGGAAAUGCCUGACCUGUGAAUUACUUAUGUGUGGUAAAUGUCGCGAUAACGUGCACUCCAAAUUCAGAACAUCAGAGCCUCACGAAAUAGUCGACAUCCGAAAUGUUGGUUUGCCUGAAAAAGGGAGAACAUUUAAUUUGAUUGCUAGAUGUGAAUUACACAAAGGCUGGAAAUGUUGUCUCUACUGCAUCGACUGUGGCGUUGCUGUUUGUCCUAAUUGUAUAGCUGGAAGACACAAAAACAUGACACGGUUGAUUUCGCGGAGGUCGAUUAUGAUCCAGACACCGAC
RNAcentral lists this long non-coding RNA (406 nucleotides) under Mytilus galloprovincialis (Mediterranean mussel). Lineage: Eukaryota; Metazoa; Mollusca; Bivalvia; Mytilida; Mytilidae. The record is from RNAcentral.